GACGAACGCUGGCGGCGUGCUUAACACAUGCAAGUCGAACGGAAAGGCCCUGCUUUUGUGGGGUGCUCGAGUGGCGAACGGGUGAGUAACACGUGAGUAACCUGCCCUUGACUUUGGGAUAACUUCAGGAAACUGGGGCUAAUACCGGAUAGGAGCUCCUGCUGCAUGGUGGGGGUUGGAAAGUUUCGGCGGUUGGGGAUGGACUCGCGGCUUAUCAGCUUGUUGGUGGGGUAGUGGCUUACCAAGGCUUUGACGGGUAGCCGGCCUGAGAGGGUGACCGGCCACAUUGGGACUGAGAUACGGCCCAGACUCCUACGGGAGGCAGCAGUGGGGAAUAUUGCACAAUGGGCGGAAGCCUGAUGCAGCAACGCCGCGUGCGGGAUGACGGCCUUCGGGUUGUAAACCGCUUUCGCCUGUGACGAAGCGUGAGUGACGGUAAUGGGUAAAGAAGCACCGGCUAACUACGUGCCAGCAGCCGCGGUGAUACGUAGGGUGCGAGCGUUGUCCGGAUUUAUUGGGCGUAAAGGGCUCGUAGGUGGUUGAUCGCGUCGGAAGUGUAAUCUUGGGGCUUAACCCUGAGCGUGCUUUCGAUACGGGUUGACUUGAGGAAGGUAGGGGAGAAUGGAAUUCCUGGUGGAGCGGUGGAAUGCGCAGAUAUCAGGAGGAACACCAGUGGCGAAGGCGGUUCUCUGGGCCUUUCCUGACGCUGAGGAGCGAAAGCGUGGGGAGCGAACAGGCUUAGAUACCCUGGUAGCCCACGCUGUAAACGGUGGGUACUAGGUGUGGGGUCCAUUCCACGGGUUCCGUGCCGUAGCUAACGCUUUAAGUACCCCGCCUGGGGAGUACGGCCGCAAGGCUAAAACUCAAAGGAAUUGACGGGGCCCCGCACAAGCGGCGGAGCAUGCGGAUUAAUUCGAUGCAACGCGUAGAACCUUACCUGGGUUUGACAUGGAUCGGGAGUGCUCAGAGAUGGGUGUGCCUCUUUUGGGGUCGGUUCACAGGUGGUGCAUGCCUGUCGUCAGCUCGUGUCGUGAGAUGUUGGGUUAAGUCCCGCAACGAGCGCAACCCUUGUUCACUGUUGCCAGCACGUUAUGGUGGGGACUCAGUGGAGACCGCCGGGGUCAACUCGGAGGAAGGUGGGGAUGACGUCAAGUCCUCAUGCCCCUUAUGUCCAGGGCUUCACGCAUGCUACAAUGGCUGGUACAGAGAGUGGCGAGCCUGUGAGGGUGAGCGAAUCUCGGAAAGCCGGUCUCAGUUCGGAUUGGGGUCUGCAACUCGACCUCAUGAAGUCGGAGUCGCUAGUAAUCGCAGAUCAGCAACGCUGCGGUGAAUACGUUCCCGGG
Molecule: ribosomal RNA, 1343 nt
Filed under: uncultured bacterium
Lineage: Bacteria
Description: 16S ribosomal RNA
Rfam family: Bacterial small subunit ribosomal RNA
Source: RNAcentral